This is a long non-coding RNA of Bactrocera dorsalis (oriental fruit fly), 4169 nucleotides long. RefSeq lists it as uncharacterized. Lineage: Eukaryota; Metazoa; Arthropoda; Insecta; Diptera; Tephritidae. The transcript is spliced from 4 exons. The record is from RefSeq and is a predicted model, not a curated record.
CCAAUUGCCAGAACGAGCAACAAAUCUGCUGACGACGUCACAAGCUUGUGCUACAGCGAUCACAAUUGCUGUCGUUUGCUGUUGCUCACGUUGCACGGACACACUGCUGCCCGCUCUUAACAACACUCGAACAGAGAGUUUGUGUAUUGCCUUUGCCGCCACCAAACGUACGAGUGUGUUGGUCGUUGUUGUCGCUUUCUGCUUGCACGCUGUCGUCAAAAACCGUUGCUGUUGCCGUCGUCUCUUCGUUAUAUUAUAUUAUUAUUAUUACUGUUGUUAUUUGCGACGACGACGUUACCGCCGACACCACUAAGUGCGCGCAGUGCACAGAUUUUGUACGUGAACGCGGAAAUAUUUCUUUCUUCAGCGUUGGUUGUGGCGUGAACGCUAAAAAUCAUUAAAUAUUAUUAAAUAUAAUUGUAAAGAAAAGUGCAAGGAAAUUGAAAAUAGUUGAUAAAUUAACAAAAGUGUUGUAAUUUCCGUGGCGUAUUGUUGCAAUGAUUUUCGCGAAGGUGUUGAAGUGCGCCGGCAAUGUUGGGUUAGCUCAGUGCACAAGGUGUGCGCAUCGUUAUUGCCGAAGUGGAUUAACGGCAUAAAGUCAACAUCGCUAGUGUAUGCCUGUGUGUGUUAAUAUGUUUGCUUAGUGCAUUAACAAGCUAGAAACGCUUUGGACAAAACGGUACCAGCGGCAGUCAGCUGACACAUUUCGUGGUCACUUUGUAGCGUCAUUUGGGCUGCAAAUGCAUGCAUGUAAGUUGUGGAAUUUUCCAAUGCAAAUUUAAAUGCGUUAAAAUAGUGAAUAAUUAAGCAAAGAGUGAGCUUACAAUUGUAAAUGGAAUGUAAAAGUGAGUGGCUGUGAAUAUUUGCGAAAAAAUAAAAGAAAUUUAUAUAAAGUGAAAAAUAUCAAACGAAAAAUUGUAAGCCGAAACGUGAAAAUUUGUAAGCAAGAAAAUUUGCGGAAGUGUGAAAAAAUGGAGUACGAAAGUUUGUAAAACAGAAAUUUCGAUACUUGUGCGUUUAUAAUAAUGGUUGGAAAGCCUUAAAAUUUGUAACAAAUAAGCGAAUAAAGCGCAAACAAAUUUUUUAGUAAAGUUCAAGUGCAGUAACGGGCAACAGAGCAACAAACAGUGUGUGCAGCUAAGGUGUAGCGGAAGAAUUUGUGCAUGUUAUAACACGUUGCAAUUUGCAUUGUAACAAACAAAUUGUGGUUUCAAAGUAAAAUAAAUAACUAAAACAAAAUUUAAAUACAAAUAAUGAUAAAAUUUGCUUAAAAAAGAUGGGAGAACCUGACGUGUGUGUAGUAGAUGUUGUAUGAAAAGCAAAAAGUGCACAUAAAUGAACUAAAAAAUCACCAGAAAAUGCAAAUACAUAUAUAAAAACCGAAACAAAAAGUUGAAGAAUAAUGCAAAACUUUAAUUUUGAAAAUAACUAAGUCAUGAAAAAAGUUUUUAACAAAUUUCUGUAGCGCGGCUGGUUUUCGGUUGAAAUAUUAAAUUAAAUGUUGCACAAAUAAACUUACAUAACGGUUAUCAAAGCGCUAUUUGGAAAAAAGUUUUAUAGCAUAACUUAUUCAAAAUAUGGGAAUUAAUUAAUAUUAAAAAUUAAAAUACAUGCAAAAUAUUGCUGAAAAUGUUUGAAGUUAUUAAGUUACACACAUGAUAUUAAGCGAAAUUUCCCAAUAAAUAAUGUAAACUGCAGUGAGCUAAGAAAAGUUGUGAAUUGGAAAUUUAUGCUACCGAGAAAGCCAUGCAUGAAUACUAUGAACAUUUAAAAAUGUAAAUUGCACAAGAAAACAAGCGUGAAAAAAAUAAAAAGUCGAACCCUAAACGAUUUUCGGCACCAUAAAUGCACAUUUUCUAAGUUUAGAAAAAUUUGUGGAAACAAAAUUACAAAGAAAAUUGAUAAAUAAGAGAAAUAAGAGCUCACAGAUAUCAGAAAAGCAGUGAAAUAAUUUUAAGAAAUUUCAAAAGCGACAAAAAAUUAGAAAACUUGUCAUCGGAAGCAACUUACGUGAAUACAAAAAUAAGAAAAGUGAGAAAGUGUACUUAAUAUUUGCAAUAAAGUGUAUUUAAAAAUAAUUACGUUAGAUAACUCCAAACAUUACAACAAAAAAUAUCGAAAAUAAAUAAAAAAAAUAUUUAAAACAAGAAAUUUGACUCCAUAUAACUUUGUGUUAUAUUUAAUUUUUUCCAAAAAAAAAAACAAUCCAAAAAUUUUGGCACACGAAAGUAAGUGUACGAGAUUCUUUAAUGAAAAUUAAUUAAGCAAAUAACGCAUAAAAAAUUGCAACUAAAUGCGCCGAAGAAAGAAAAUAUUUUUCAAACCGUUUGUGAAAAUUUUUCAAAAUCUCCGUCAAAAUGGAGAAAACUAAGCCUAACAAAAAUAAAGUGCACUGUGCAGCAAAUAUGAGGAAAACUUCUGACAGAAAUAGUGUGGAAAUUGAAAAAAUAUAUACAAAAUAAAGAAAAUAUAUGCAAAUCUUCAAUAAUUUUAUAACAAUAACUUAAUUCAAAAGCAAUAGUGUAAAAAUUUUGUGCUUUAAUUCAAAAACAAAUAAAAUAAAAAUUUGUGCGUAAAGAAAGAAAAUACCAUUCAUUGUUUUAAAAAGUAAAACCUGCAAUUGUCGCUCUCCAAAGUACGGGAAAUUUUCAGAAAAUUUUGUUUGCAAUAAAAUUAUAAAGUUUAUUCAACCAAAUAAACCACUGUAUACACCAGCAAAUGUAAAUACAAUUGGAUUGUGGGGAUUAUCAGUGUAAUUAACGAGCAUAAAUAAGUGUUUAUACAACUUUAUCAGCUGGUGAAACAUUUUUCCGUGAUUGGAUUACUCUCCGAGAAGUGACAGAAUAAAAAUUAAAGAGAACAUAAUAAAAAAUCCCAAUAUCGCCUCAAUUGAAAGUGAUUUAUUAGUGUGUAAAUGUAAAUACAAGUAUAUAGUACAUACAUACAUAUAUACAAAAAAUAUAAAUAAGAAAAUUAAAUAAAAUAUAAUUUAAGAAAAAAUUGUAAAUUGCAACGCCACGAUACCCAAUUGUGUUCAAAUCUCGCACUAAAACAAAAAGUAUUUAUAAUUAAAAGUGUUUCUAAAAUAUAUAUGUAUUUACAUAAGCAAUUAAUAUUAAAGCAUAUAAAAAAUAAAAAAUAGUGUUAAAAAGUGUAUAAAUUAAAGUUAAAACAAAAAUUAAAUUUACAACGAUGAAAAAAUAAAAAUGAAUUAAUGAAGAGAGUGUCAAUACAAAUAUACCGAGAAAACCCGAAAGCUGCAUCUUGAAAACGAUAAAAAACGAAGUCAAACGUUAAAGGAAAUUUGCAUAAAAUCAACGAAAAAUCAAUUAAAUGCAAAAAAUUGUCACUAAUUAAUAAAAAAUAACACAUGAAGUGUAUAAAUGCAAUAAGAAGUGUAUGCAAAUUAUAAAAUGAGCUCAUAAAGAGCGUGAGCGUUUCGUGCAAAGCCGCAAGUGUGCUGAGCUUGAGAGCGAAUUAAGCACAGUUCUUUGCUUAUCACAAAUUUUUACGAUAUAACGAAAAUUUGAAGAUAUUAACAGCAAAGAAUUUCAUUUUAUUCGUCAUAAUUUUUACAACAACAAAAAGCAGUGAUAAAAGUGUUUCAACCAAAAUAAAUAUAUAUCCAUAUAAAAUAUAAAAAUAUGGCAUUUAAGUGCAAGUGUGUGUGUGUGUUGCAGUGCUGUUUCUUUGUUCAAUCAUCAAUUUCGAUGAGUUGCUCGCGUAAAAAUCUUAAUUAAACACAAAGCAAAUUUAAUUCAACGAAAAAUGAUGAAUUCUACUGAAGAUGCUGUUUGCGGAUGAACAAACGAGUUUUCCAUACAACUUGAAACAAUUGGCAAACACUCAUCACCACAACAAUAACAACAACUCGUCGUACGGUAGGUAGUCGCUGCAAUUUUGUUGACGCCACUUCAACGCCACCAGCAAAUCACUCAACGGCAGCAAUACUGAAUAGGCGCACAGCAGUGCUAAGAAAAGCGCCAGCGACACAAAUUGCCGCAACAAAAACAAAAGCAAAGCAGUUUACAGAAAAUGAAAAACAACAACUAAGUGUAGACGAAGCGACUGCAAUACACAUAAACCGCGUCGCAGUAACAACAACAGCAACAAUAAGAACUAUAUACAUAACAACAACAUAAACGACAAGAAAAGCAGGAAAACUGACC